AUUGAACGCUGGCGGCAUGCUUUACACAUGCAAGUCGAACGGUAACAGCACUUCGGUGGCUGACGAGUGGCGAACGGGGGAGUAAUACAUCGGAACGUGCCUAGUAGUGGGGGAUAACUACUCGAAAGAGUAGCUAAUACCGCAUGAGAUCUAAGGAUGAAAGCAGGGGACCUUCGGGCCUUGCGCUACUAGAGCGGCUGAUGGCAGAUUAGGUAGUUGGUGGGAUAAAAGCUUACCAAGCCGACGAUCUGUAGCUGGUCUGAGAGGACGACCAGCCACACUGGGACUGAGACACGGCCCAGACUCCUACGGGAGGCAGCAGUGGGGAAUUUUGGACAAUGGGCGCAAGCCUGAUCCAGCAAUGCCGCGUGCAGGAUGAAGGCCUUCGGGUUGUAAACUGCUUUUGUACGGAACGAAAAGCCCUCUUCUAAUACAGGAGGGUCCUGACGGUACCGUAAGAAUAAGCACCGGCUAACUACGUG
This 482-nucleotide ribosomal RNA is filed under the name uncultured bacterium. RNAcentral's name for it is "partial 16S ribosomal RNA". It matches the Rfam family "Bacterial small subunit ribosomal RNA", at positions 30 to 507 of the family's 1533-position model. The record is from RNAcentral.